CUGAAUCAGUGUGUGUGUUAGUGGAAGCGUCUGGAAAGGCGCGCGAUACAGGGUGACAGCCCCGUACACAAAAAUGCACAUAUUGUGAGCUCGAUGAGUAGGGCGGGACACGUGGUAUCCUGUCUGAAUAUGGGGGGACCAUCCUCCAAGGCUAAAUACUCCUGACUGACCGAUAGUGAACCAGUACCGUGAGGGAAAGGCGAAAAGAAC
This 210-nucleotide ribosomal RNA is filed under the name Escherichia coli. RNAcentral's name for it is "partial 23S ribosomal RNA". It matches the Rfam family "Bacterial large subunit ribosomal RNA", at positions 312 to 524 of the family's 2925-position model. The record is from RNAcentral. Lineage: Bacteria; Pseudomonadati; Pseudomonadota; Gammaproteobacteria; Enterobacterales; Enterobacteriaceae.